Molecule: non-coding RNA, 24 nt
Filed under: Arabidopsis thaliana (thale cress)
Lineage: Eukaryota; Viridiplantae; Streptophyta; Magnoliopsida; Brassicales; Brassicaceae
Source: RNAcentral
ACGGUGAGUCUAUUUGGCUGGGUC